GAAGGGGUGUGAAUUUGUUUUUGGAUUACAGAAGACUGGAUAACUCCUCCCACAAUCGACAGCAAGACAUACACGUGCAGUGAGGAUAAAGUGGUCAUGGCCCUAGCCAAAGCAAAGCUUUGGUAAUUUCGCAUCAGAGCAAUUUCGACGGCAUAGAAAAUACAGGUUCGAGGUGUUUCCUCCCAUGUACGCUCUGCCACCUGGCAGGCCUUCUCCAGUACCCAAACUGUAACAUUUGGAUUUUCAGCCCCCAAAGGUGUGGAACAAACUGCUUUACAUACAAAGGUACCCUACAACCAGUAUUCUAUUAUCGUGAUGAAAAAC
This 324-nucleotide long non-coding RNA is filed under the name Chinchilla lanigera (long-tailed chinchilla). Its description in RNAcentral is "lncRNA (ENSCLAG00000024440.1)". The record is from RNAcentral. Lineage: Eukaryota; Metazoa; Chordata; Mammalia; Rodentia; Chinchillidae.